RNAcentral lists this ribosomal RNA (301 nucleotides) under uncultured bacterium. RNAcentral's name for it is "partial 16S ribosomal RNA". It matches the Rfam family "Bacterial small subunit ribosomal RNA", at positions 509 to 807 of the family's 1533-position model. The record is from RNAcentral.
CAGUCGCCGCGGUAAUACAGAGGAUGCAAGCGUUAUCCGGAAUGAUUGGGCGUAAAGCGUCUGUAGGUGGCUUUUCAAGUCCGCCGUCAAAUCCCAGGGCUCAACCCUGGACAGGCGGUGGAAACUACCAAGCUAGAGUACGGUAGGGGCAGAGGGAAUUUCCGGUGGAGCGGUGAAAUGCGUUGAGAUCGGAGAGAACACCAACGGCGAAAGCACUCUGCUGGGCCGACACUGACACUGAGAGAUGAAAGCUAGGGGAGCAAAUGGGAUUAGAGACCCCAGUAGUCCCUGUCUCUUAUAC